GUAGGUGAACCUGCGGAAGGAUCAUUAACACUUUAUCCUUUAUAAACAACUGUGAACAUGUUUCCCUACCUAUCAGCAAUGAAAAUCGUAAGAGUUUAGUGUAUGGUGACAAGUGGCUCUGUAAAGAGUUUACUUAGCUAACUCGUACUAGAAGCCUUGAGCUUCAAGAUUUUCUAUUGAUAGGCUAUUUUAACCAUCACCAUGGUUUACUCAUUAACUAAUUAACCCCUUUAACAUUUAUUGAACUAAUAUAUGUUUCUCACUAACAGCAAUGUUAGGAAGAAUCAAGUUAUACGAAACUAAGAACAACUCUUAGCAAUGGAUAUCUUGGUUCCC
RNAcentral lists this unclassified non-coding RNA (336 nucleotides) under rhizosphere metagenome. RNAcentral describes it as "partial ribosomal RNA internal transcribed spacer region". The record is from RNAcentral.